UGUAUUAGAAAAUGCUGGAAAUUAGCCGUCGUUCGCCUUCGCCUUCGCAUGUGUCCCUGGAAAAUCUAAGCCGGCGGAUUAGCAUUGAGCAAGUUGGCGGAGAAGGAGAAAACAGAUGUUCCAAUCCGGCACCGUAUUUAUCGUUUAUCGAGGAAUCAAAGAAGAGUACGAGCAGGUCCGUCGCAUCAGCCGACAGCUGCAAGAAUCGUUAGGCACCCAAACCGAAGCAUCUCGUGCUGAAGGUGAAGGAACGGAUGUACCCCAGAUGGACAGCAUCGAAAGAUUGGAGACGCAGUUGCAGCAGCGGAGUGAGUCCAGAUUCAAUCGGGCAAGGUCAACUGGGUUAAAGAACACCUCGAACAGCCCGUGCCGGUGGCGUGUUCGUGUUAAAACAGAACGAGCUUCAGGGGGAUGAUUAACCGUUCACACAUCAAGAAGCUGCCCCGCAAGACGCUCAAGGUUCUGCGAAAGGUCGAUUUGUAUCGGUCCCAGGCAUCCGUUCCGUGUGGCGUUGAACGUGGCCCGUGCAGUUCAGAAGGAGUACAACCAUCGUACAAAGAUCAACAAUCAACUGGAAUCCACACCAAGGAGAAGCGUGAUGUUUAUGACGUGAAAAUACAUAAAAUAUAUGGAUUUUGGUCGUGUU
This is a long non-coding RNA of Culex pipiens pallens (northern house mosquito), 646 nucleotides long. RefSeq lists it as uncharacterized. The record is from RefSeq and is a predicted model, not a curated record. Lineage: Eukaryota; Metazoa; Arthropoda; Insecta; Diptera; Culicidae. The transcript has 3 exons.